UACGUAGGGGGCUAGCGUUGUCCGGAAUCAUUGGGCGUAAAGAGCGCGUAGGCGGCCAGAUAAGUCCGCUGUGAAAACUCGAGGCUCAACUUCGAGCUGUCGGCGGAAACUAUCUGGCUAGAGUCCGGAAGAGGAGAGUGGAAUUCCUGGUGUAGCGGUGAAAUGCGCAGAUAUCAGGAAGAACACCCGUGGCGAAGGCGGCUCUCUGGGACGGUACUGACGCUGAGACGCGAAAGCGUGGGGAGCGAACAGG
This 253-nucleotide ribosomal RNA is filed under the name uncultured bacterium. RNAcentral describes it as "partial 16S ribosomal RNA". It matches the Rfam family "Bacterial small subunit ribosomal RNA", at positions 524 to 776 of the family's 1533-position model. The record is from RNAcentral.